Molecule: ribosomal RNA, 253 nt
Filed under: uncultured bacterium
Lineage: Bacteria
Description: partial 16S ribosomal RNA
Rfam family: Bacterial small subunit ribosomal RNA
Source: RNAcentral
UACGUAGGGGGCAAGCGUUGUCCGGAAUCAUUGGGCGUAAAGAGCGUGUAGGCGGCCUGGUAAGUCCGCUGUGAAAGUCCAGGGCUCAACCCUGGAAUGCCGGUGGAAACUGUCAGGCUCGAGUCCGGAAGAGGCGAGUGGAAUUCCUGGUGUAGCGGUGAAAUGCGCAGAUAUCAGGAGGAACACCGAUGGCGAAGGCAGGUCUCUGGGCAUUAACUGACGCUGAGGAGCGAAAGCAUGGGGAGCGAACAGG